This is an RNA transcript of Loxodonta africana (African savanna elephant), 7115 nucleotides long. It is a transcript of the gene named exonuclease 5, with no coding region annotated. The transcript has 3 exons. NCBI's taxonomy places the organism in Eukaryota, Metazoa, Chordata, Mammalia, Proboscidea, Elephantidae. The record is from RefSeq and is a predicted model, not a curated record.
UAGCCUGGGUGCCUCGAUGAAGAUUUAGGCUCUCAGAGCUUGUUUGUUGUCCCCUAGCGUUGUCAUCUCAGCCUUCUGCCCUUCCGCCUAAGGAGGAAGAUAAACUAAGUCUCAGGACGUACCUUGCCCUAUCCAGAGUUGUGCCAUGGCAGAGACUGGUGAAGAGGAGAAGGUGUCAGCAGAGGCCUCAGGGUUCUCAGACCUGAGUGACUCAGAGUUCCUGGACCUGGAAGAUACCGAAGUGUCAGAUGCUUCACUUAGCAAGCCUGGCCCUUCUUCUGAAUGCUCAGGGACGGAUAGAAAGUCUAUAAGCUUACAGAAAUGGAAAAGAGGAUUGGAUGUCUCAUCACCCAUGGAGCGAUUCCAUUUUAAGUACUUAUAUGUCACUGACCUAUCUACCCAGAACUGGUGUGAACAGCAAAUGGUCUAUGGGAAGGAGUUUCCUGGCUUCUCGACACCUGAGAAAGCAACUCUUUUGGACACUGGUGCUAGCAUCCACCUAGCUAAAGAACUAGAAGUUCAAGAUCUUGUGACUAUCCCCAUCACCACUAAAGAAGAUGCUUGGGCAAUAAAGUUUCUCAACAUACUAUCAAUGGUUCCUACGCUGCAGUCAGAGGGGCGCAUCAGAGAGUUUCCGGUGUUCGGGGAAGUGGAGGGUGUGCUUCUUGUUGGGGUGAUUGAUGAGCUGCACUAUACCGCCAAGGGGGAGCUGGAACUGGCUGAACUCAAGACACGGAAGCGUCCUGUGCUCCCUGUGGAAGCUCAGAAAAAGAAAGACGGUUUUCAAGUCAGCCUAUAUAAAUAUAUCUUUGAUGCCAUGGUAAAAGGGAAAAUGACCCCUGCUAGCCUAAUCCACCAUACAAAAUUGUGUCCAGAAAAGCCACUGGGUCCCUCAGUCCUGAGGCAUGCUCAACAGGGAGGCUUCUCUGUGAAGUCGUUAGGUGACCUGAUGGAGCUGGUAUUUUUGUCUCUGACGCUGUCUGAUCUUCCGGUCAUUGACAUCCUGAAGAUUGAAUAUAUCCACCAAGAGACUGCUACUGUGCUGGGUACAGAGAUUGUUGCCUUUGAAGAGAAGGAGAUGAGAGGCAAGGUGCAGCACUACGUGGCCUACUGGAUGGGGCACCGAGAACCUCAGGGGGUUGAUGUGGAGGAGGCUUGGAAGUGCCGCACAUGCGACUACAUAGACAUCUGUGAGUGGAGGAAGGGUGGUUGGGUGCCCAGCUCUACGCUGGAGCCCAAAGCCAAAAAAAAACCUCACAAAUGAACGGAAGUUAUUGAAGGCAAUUUGAUCCUGUUCCUUGUGUAUUCGGCAGAGUAAAAGGAUCAGUGUCUGGGCUUGGCUUUCAUGAAGAGUGUUUUUAUUUUGCUUAUUUUCCUAUUUCCUCAACCUGAAAUCAUACUCAAAUCUUGGACCAAGGCUCAGGGAUGAGUGGGAGAGAUCUCCCUGAAGCUUUGCUAUGGAUUGCCAAGCAGAUAUUCAUCAUGGCCAGAGCAAAAAUAUCAUUCAGCAAAUACUGCUUUCCUGAGAAAAUUGGUAUUUAAUAAUUCCCUUCUCUAUUUGUCCUCAGUCAAGGUUUUCUAUAUUUUUAUAAUGAAAUGCUGUCCAGGACAGUUGAACUGAUGUUUUUUUUUUUCAUAAUCUCAGCCCUUCAAAAAUGAUCCCUAUUUUUCCUCAAUCAAGGUUUUCUAUAUUUUAUAGAAUAAAAUGAACAAUGACCAGGACAGUUGAACUGAUGUUUUGUUUUUCCAUAAUGUCAACCCUUCAGAAAUGACCACUCUAAAGAACUGUGUGUAUAUUAUCCAGAUUUUAAAUCAUUUCUCGUUGUUAGUAGCUGUUGAGUCAGCUCUGACUCUUGGCGACUUCUCAAGCAGAAUUAGUGUAAUGGGUAGACCAAGAAUUUAAAUAAAUAAGUAUUCUCAAAGAGAUAAGCAAAACUGAAGCAGUAACAGGAAAUUUUAAAGUAAAAAUAUUAGAUAUGAAAAAUACAUAAAUGUAAGAUAGCAUGUAAAGUUGAGCAUUUACAUGCUGUACAAUCUAGCAGUACCACUCCUAGGUAUAUACUCAGAGAAACCUUUAUAUGUACAACAAGAAAUAUAGGCAAGAAUAUACAUUAUAAUGCUUUUGUAAUAGCAAAAACCUAGGAGCUACUCAGGUGUCCGUCAUCAGAAGAAUGGGUGAUGUGGUACAGCAGCCAAAACAAAUGAGCUACGAUGACACAACUAUAUGGAUGAAUCUUAGCAAUACAAUAUUAAGUGAAAAAAAUAAGUUCCAAAAGAUUACAUACAACAUGAUACCCUUUUUAUAAUGUGAAAAAAAAAAUUCUUCAGGAAAUUAUAAAGGUAGUGGAGAGGAAUCACGAUGCCUCUUAGAAGACAGUAGAGCCCUUAGCUACAAACCUCACCAAAGGGGCCAGAGGAAAGAAUUAUAUGAAUACCACCUGGAAGGGAUCUUCUUAUAGCAUGGCAUCUUCCGCCAUCUGUGCUUCCUUGCUUCUGUGUCUAAACUGCUCAAAGGAGAUUGAAGAAGUACACAGGAUCACUGGACAAACAAGAAUUGGUUGAUGUCUAAUCAUUUCAGGAGAUAGCAUAUGAUCAAGAACUGACGGUAGUGAAGGAAGAAGUCCAAGCUACACUGAAGACAUUGGUGAAAAACUAGGUUCCAGGAAUUGAUGGAGUACCAACUGAGAUGUUCAACAGAUGCAGUGCUGGAAGUGCUCACUCACUUAUGCUGAGAAAAUUGAAAGACAACUACCUGGCCAACUGACAGGAAGAUACCCAUAUUUAUGCCUGUUCCCCAAAAAGGUGAUCCAACCAAACGUGGAAAUUAUCAAACAAUAUCAUUAAUAUCACAUGCAAGUAAAAUUUUGUGGCGGUACAUCAACAGGGAACUGCCAGAAAUUCAAGUCGGAUUCAGAAGACGAUGUGGAAUGAGGGAUAUCAUUGCUGAGGUCAAAUGGAUCCUGGCUGAAAGCAGAGAAUACCAGAAAGAUGUUUACCUGUGUUUUAUUUAUUAUGCAAAGGCAUUCCACUGUGUAGAUCAUAAGAAAUUAUGAAUAACAUUUUGAAGAAUGGGAAUUCCAGAACACUUAACGGUGCCCGUGAGGCAGAACAUGUACAUAGAUCAAGGGACAGUCAUUUGAACAGAACAAGGGGAUACUGCUUGCUUUAAAGACAGGAAGGGUGUGCGUCAGGAUUGUAUCCUUUCAGCAUACUUAUUCAAUCUGUAUGUGGAGCAAAUAAUCCAAGAAGCUGGACUGUGUGAAGAAUAACACGCCAUCAGGAUUGAAGGAACACUCAUUAACAACCUGCAAUAUGCAGAUGGCACAACCUUGCUUGCUGAAAGUGAAGAAGUCUUGAAGCACUGAUGAAGAUUAAAGACCACAGUCUUCAGUAUGGAUUACACCUCAAAACAAAAAUCCUCACAACUGGACCAAUAAACAACAUCAUGAUAAACAGAGAGAAGAUUGAAGUUGUGAAGGAUUUCAUUCUGUCUAGAUCCACAGCCAACACCUAUGGAAGCAGCAGUCAAGAAAUCAAAGGAAAGGACCCCGGUGGUCAUGGCCCCCAGACCUUCUCUUGGCCCAGGACAGGAACCAUUUCUGAAGCCAACUCUUCAGACAUGGAUUGGACUGGACAAUGGGUUGGAGAGGGAUGCUGGUGAGGAGUGAGCUUCUUGGAUCAGGUGGACACUUGAGACUAUGUUGGCAUCUCCUGCCUGGAGGGCAGAUGAGAGGGUGAAGGGGGUUAGAAGCUGGCGAAACGGACACGAAAAGAGAGUGGAGGGAGAGAGCGGCUGUCUUAUUAGGGGGAGAGUAGUUGGGAGUGUGUAGUAAGGUGUAUAUGGGUUUUUGUGUGAGAGACUGACUUGAUUUGUAAACUUUCACUUAAAGCACAAUAAAAAUUAUAAAAAAGAAAAAUCAAAGGAAGGCCACAUAAACCAGAGACUACAUCAGUCUGAGACCAGAAGAACUAGAUGGUACCUGGCUACAACCGAUGACUGCCCCGACAGGGAACACAACAGAGAACCCCUGUGGGAGCAGGAGAGCAGUGGGAUGCAGACCUCAAAUUCUCAUAAAAGGACCAGAUUUGAUGGUCUGACUGAGACUGGAAGGACCCCAGAGGUCAUGGUCCCUGGAACCUUCUGCUAGCCCAAGACAGGAACCAUUCCCAAAGCCAGCUCUUCAGACAGGGAUUGGACUGGACUGUGGGAUAGAAAAUGAUACUGGUGAGGAGUGAGCUGCUUGGGUCAUGUAGACAGACUAUGUGGGCAGCUUCUGUCUGGAGGGGAGAUGAGAGGACAGAGGGGGUCAGAAGCUGACUGAAUGCACACAAAAAUAGAGGGUGAAAAGAAGGAGGAGUGUGCUGUCCCGGGGAGAGCAACUAGGAGUAUAUAGCAAGGUGUAUAUAAAUUUUUGUUUGAGAAAUGGACUCGAUUUGUAAACUUUCACUUAAAGCACAAUAAAAAUUUAAAAAAUCAAAGGACACAUUGCAUUGGGCAAAUGUGUUGCAAAAGAUUUCUUUAAAGUGUUGAAAAGCAAAGAUACCCCCUUGAAGACUAAGGUGCACCUGACCUGACCCAAGCCAUUGUGUUUUCAAUAACCUCAUAGGCAUAUGAAUGCCAGACAGUGAAUAAGGAAGACCGAGGAAGAAUUGAUGCCUUUGAGUUGUGGUCUUGGAGAAGAAUGUUGAAUAUACUAUGGACUGGCAAAAGAAUGAACAAAUCUGUCCUGGAAGAAGUACAGCCACAAUGCUCCUUAGAAGGAGACUGCAUCUCACAUACUUUGAAUGUGUUAUCAGGAGGGACCAGUCCUUAGAGAAGGACAUCAUGCUUGGUAAAGUGGAGGGUCAGCAAAAAAGAGGAAGACCCUCAAGGAGAUGGAUUGAUCUAGUGGCUGCAACAACGGGCUAAAGCAUAACAAUCAUCAGGAUGGUGCAGGACCUAGCAGUGUUUCGUUCUGUUGUGCAUAGGAUCUCUAUGAGUUGGAACCGACUCAACAUCACCUAACAACAAGAACAACAGCAACAUACAAUGGGUAUUUAAAGCAGUGGAACUGAAUGAGAUCAUUUAGAGAAAUUUAUAAAAGGCUCAAGGCCGAGCCCUUGAGCAUUCCAACAUUGGAGGUACAAUAGAGGAAUUGUGUUUAGUAAAGAAAACAGAAACAGUUUAAAUGAUGUGGGAGAAACUAGCUACAUGAGACGUUUUAGAAGCAAAGAGAAGGAAGUAUUUCAAUUUUGUCGAAUGCCGCUGAGGUGAAAUAUGAUGAGGACAGAGAAAGUCCACGUAGAAUUUCAUUGAUAAAUUGACAAAAGUGUCAGGAGAGUAGUUAGCACCAAGAAGCCCAGUUGGAGGGGUUUGAGGAGAGAAUUGGAAGUGGGUAAAUAUAGGCAGCAACAAUAAGCAACUCCUUAGAGAAAGUUUUCUGUGAAGCAAUGCUGAGAAAUGGAGCAAUUGCUGGAGUGGGCCAUAAGUCGAGAAAGGAUUUUUUCAAGAUUGCAGAUAAAUAUCUUUAUGACAUUGAAAAUGCUAGCAAAUUCUCUCACAUUCCUAAAUUACUAACAUUUUAUAGAAUCUAGGAUACUAUCAGAAGACCUGGUAGCGAAGUGGUUAAGUGCUCAACUGCCAGCCAGUAGGUUGGUGGUUCUAACUCACCAGCCACUCCAUGGAGAAACAGAUGGCAGUCUACAUAGUACAUAUUUACAUCCUUGGAAACCCUGUGGGCGGAUGUGCUCUGUCCUAUAGGUCGCCGUGAGUCGGAAGAGACUUGUCGGCAACAGGUUUGGCUUUGGUUUUAAGAUGCUAUUGCUUAUAAGAUGUAUCAUUAUCUGUGUUACCACUAAGAAAAAAAUGCUGCCAGUUAAACUAAACGAUCAUUUGUAAGAUAGCAAUUUCACAGAUGUUGAAAUAUGAAAAAAGUGUGUAUCAUGACCAGUGUAAUACAGUAUUUUGUAUCUUUUCUCUCCUUAAACCUCCAAUACCUCCUCCCUAUCCUCACGUUCAGCUCCCUAUUUCACUGAGAAAAUAGAAGCCCUCAGAAGAGGAUGUCCUCAUUCUCCUACCAAAUCUGUCCACCUGUCUGCAUCUAUACCUACGUACUCUGCCAUCCCUUCUAUUCCAGUGGAUAAAUUGUCCGUGCUCCUGCUUUGUUUUUUUUCAUUAUCUAAUUUUAUUUUUCAUUUAUGCUGCAAAAGCCGUUUAAACAGACAGGCUAUUUUUUUUUUAAAUAAAAGUAUAUUGUUUUGCUUACAAUUUUUAGCCCAACAAAUUUAAAAUAUUUAACGAGAAAUCCCUGGUGGCAUAGUGGUUAAGAACUACAGCUGCUAACCAAAGGGUCAGCGCUCCUUGGAAACUUGACAGCAAUGGGGUUAACUAUAAUGAAUACAUUAAUGAUUUCUAAUUGGGUGGUGGAAUAUAUACCUUGGAAUCUAGUACAUUCUCAGUCUGCUCUGCCGUCUGUUUCUGUGAAACAUUGCUGUCCUGAGUGACUGCUGUUGUUUAUUUUCCUGCUGAUCAAUUUGAAUUUUAACACUGUAUUCCAAGGGUAACAUCCUUUAAGAUCAGUCAUUGUGAUCCAAGGUAGGCACAUUAGGCAUACUUCUCUACUUUGAUCUAAUCCCUCCAGUUAUGUACUGGGUUCCAUCCAUCCCUUCUCUCCUCAAGGACUUGCUCUUGAAACUAUCCUGUCUUUCCCUUAUUAUCAAAAUUUCUCUUUCUACUAGAUCAUUUUAAUUAGGAUACAAACAUGCUGUAAUUUCUUCCACCUUUAAAUAAAAAAUAACCCUCAACACCAAAUCCAUACCCAAUUACAGCCUUAUUUUUCUGUUCAUCUUAAAAGCAAAAUUUCUUAGAAGUGUGUCUGUCUGCCGUCUCCCAUAUCUUCUUCCCCCAUUCUUUCGUCCAACUCUUAUCAAGUAACCAAACUCAUCAAACUUUACUAAACUUCAACUAUUGUACCCACACUGCCUGAGUCAACAUAAACAGUGACUACCAUGCUGCUGGAAACCCUGGUGGCUUAGUGGUUAAGUGCUACAGGCUGCACUUGGGUGGGACCACACUGCUAAAUUCUUAGCUGUCAUCUUACUUGGCCUAUCAGCAACAUUUGAUACAGUGAUCACUC